AUGGCAGCGUCGGCAAAGACCUUCGUGCUCUACCCCUCGCUGGGCGUCGGCCACCUCAUCCCCAUGGUGGAGCUGGCCAAGCACCUGCUCCGCCGCGGCCAUAGCGCCGUCGUCGCCGUCGUCGACCCGCCGGACGGCGACGCCGCCUCGGCCGCCGCGGUGGCCCGCCUCGCCGCGGCCAACCUUUCCAUCGCCUUCCGCCUCCUCGCGGUCCCUCCCAGCCCGGACCCCGCCGCGCACCCGGUCAGGCGCGCCCACGACACGCUCCGCCUCGCCAACCCCGCGCUCCGGGCCUUCCUGCGCGCGCUGCCGGCCCCCGCCGACGCGCUCCUGCUCGACAUGUUCUGCGUCGACGCGCUCGACGUCGCCGCCGACCUCGCCCUCCCCGCCUACUUCUUCUUCGCCUCCGCCGCCAGCGACCUCGCCGUCUUUCUCAACUUGCCGUUCCUCUACCCCGGCCUGCCGUCCUUCAGGGACAUGGGCGACGCGCUCGUGCGCUGCCCCGGCAUGCCGCCGAUCCGCGCGGUUGACAUGCUGGUCACGGUGCAGGACAAGGAGAGCGACCUCACCAAGGUCCGGCUGUACCAGUUCAAGCGCAUCGCGGAGUCGAGGGGCGUGCUGGUCAACAGCUUCGACUGGCUGGAGCCCACGGCCCGGAAAGCGCUCGCCGACGGCGUCUGCGUGCCCGACCGGCCGACGCCGAGGAUCUACUGUAUCGGGCCAUUGGUCAACAGCGGCGACGCGAGCGCAGGCGGCGAGAAGCGGCACGAAUGCCUCGCGUGGCUCGACGCGCAGCCGGAGAAGAGCGUCGUGUUCCUCUGCUUCGGCAGCAAGGGCGCGUUCUCGGCGGCGCAGCUGAAGGAGAUUGCUCGCGGGCUAGAGAGCUCCGGGCACCGGUUCCUGUGGGCGGUGAGGAGCCCGCCGGAGGAACAGAGGGAGUUCCCCGAGCCGGACCUCGGGCGGCUGCUCCCGGCUGGCUUCUUGGAGAGGACGAGAGGCAGGGGCAUGGUGGUAAAGAACUGGGUGCCGCAGGCGGAAGUGGUGCGGCACGAGGCGGUCGGCGCCUUCAUGACGCACUGCGGGUGGAACUCCGCGCUGGAGGCGAUCAUGUCCGGGCUGCCGAUGGUAUGCUGGCCACUCUACGCCGAGCAGGCGCAAAACAAGGUGAUCAUGGUGGAGGAGAUGAAGAUCGCCGUGGCGUUGGAGGGUUACGAGAAGGGGACGGUGAAGGCGGAGGAGAUUGACGCCAAGCUGAGGCUGGUGAUGGAGACGGAGGAAGGGAGGAAGCUCAGGGAGAUGCUUGCGGCGGCGAGGAAGAUGGCGUCGGACGCGAUCGGCGACGGCGGGUCUUCGGAAGUGGCAUUUGCCGAGUUCUUGAGAGAUUUGGAGAGCAGCAGCAUGGAGAACGAAGGAUGCAACAAUUGA
Molecule: ribosomal RNA, 1425 nt
Filed under: Triticum aestivum (bread wheat)
Lineage: Eukaryota; Viridiplantae; Streptophyta; Magnoliopsida; Poales; Poaceae
Description: partial small subunit ribosomal RNA
Source: RNAcentral